Small nuclear RNA from Homo sapiens (human), 107 nucleotides. The record is from Ensembl. NCBI's taxonomy places the organism in Eukaryota, Metazoa, Chordata, Mammalia, Primates, Hominidae.
GUGGUCACUUCGGAAGCACAUAUAUUAAAAUCGUAAUGAUACAGAGAAGAUUAGCAUGGCCUCUGCACAAGGAUGACACGCACGUUUGUGAAGUUUUCCUAUUUUUC